Non-coding RNA from Pilatotrama ljubarskyi, 81 nucleotides. The record is from the annotation of a GenBank genome assembly. Lineage: Eukaryota; Fungi; Basidiomycota; Agaricomycetes; Polyporales; Polyporaceae.
GGGUCGGUGGCGUAGUUGGUUAUCGCAUCUGUCUAACAUUCGGCACACAGAAGGUCCUCAGUUCGAACCUGGGCCGACUCA